RNAcentral lists this ribosomal RNA (491 nucleotides) under uncultured bacterium. Its description in RNAcentral is "partial 16S ribosomal RNA". It matches the Rfam family "Bacterial small subunit ribosomal RNA", at positions 29 to 506 of the family's 1533-position model. The record is from RNAcentral.
AGUGAACGCUGGCGGUAGGCCUAACACAUGCAAGUCGAACGGCAGCACAGUAAGAGCUUGCUCUUACGGGUGGCGAGUGGCGGACGGGUGAGGAAUACAUCGGAAUCUACUUUUUCGUGGGGGAUAACGUAGGGAAACUUACGCUAAUACCGCAUACGACCUACGGGUGAAAGCAGGGGAUCUUCGGACCUUGCGCGAUUGAAUGGGCCGAUGUCGGAUUAGCUAGUUGGCGGGGUAAAGGCCCACCAAGGCGACGAUCCGUAGCUGGUCUGAGAGGAUGAUCAGCCAACCUGGAACUGAGAAAGGGUCCAGACCCCUACGGGAGGCAGAAGUGGGAAAUAUUGGAAAAUGGGCGGAAGCCUGAGCCAGCCAUACCGGGUGGGGGAAGAAGGCCUGCGGGUUGAAAAGCCCUUUUGUUGGGAAAAAAAAGGAGCAGGUUACAACCCCCCUGUUCAAAGGGACCCCAAAGAAAAAAAACCGGCAAACUUCGU